UACGAAGGGGGCUAGCGUUGCUCGGAAUCACUGGGCGUAAAGCGCACGUAGGCGGAUUGCUAAGUCAGGGGUGAAAUCCUGGAGCUCAACUCCAGAACUGCCCUUGAUACUGGCGGUCUCGAGUCCGGGAGAGGUGAGUGGAACUGCGAGUGUAGAGGUGAAAUUCGUAGAUAUUCGCAAGAACACCAGUGGCGAAGGCGGCUCACUGGACCGGUACUGACGCUGAGGUGCGAAAGCGUGGGGAGCAAACAGG
RNAcentral lists this ribosomal RNA (253 nucleotides) under uncultured bacterium. RNAcentral's name for it is "partial 16S ribosomal RNA". It matches the Rfam family "Bacterial small subunit ribosomal RNA", at positions 524 to 776 of the family's 1533-position model. The record is from RNAcentral.